RNAcentral lists this ribosomal RNA (522 nucleotides) under uncultured bacterium. RNAcentral describes it as "bacterial SSU rRNA". It matches the Rfam family "Bacterial small subunit ribosomal RNA", at positions 791 to 1306 of the family's 1533-position model. The record is from RNAcentral.
UAGUCCACGCCCUAAACGAUGUCAACUAGACGUUGGGUUCAUUAAGGAACUUAGUGUCGAAGCUAACGCGUUAAGUUGACCGCCUGGGGAGUACGGUCGCAAGGUUGAAACUCAAGGGAAUUGACGGGGGCCCGCACAAGCGGUGGAGCAUGUGGUUUAAUUCGAUGCAACGCGAAGAACCUUACCAGCCCUUGACAUCCUGGGAAUCUUGUAGAGAUACGAGAGUGCCUUCGGGAAUCCAGUGACAGGUGCUGCAUGGCUGUCGUCAGCUCGUGUCGUGAGAUGUUGGGUUAAGUCCCGCAACGAGCGCAACCCUGUCCUUAGUUGCCAGCACUUCGGGUGGGAACUCUAAGGAGAUUGCCGGUGAUAAACCGGNGGAAGUGGGGAUGACGUCAAGUCAUCAUGGGCCCUUAUGGGGCUGGGGCUACACACGUGCUACAAUGGGUCGGUACAGAGGGGUCACGAAACCCGCGAGGGGGAGCUAAAUCCCAGAAAGCCGAUCUUAGUCCGGGAUCGCAGUCU